Molecule: long non-coding RNA, 2108 nt
Filed under: Anas platyrhynchos platyrhynchos (common mallard)
Lineage: Eukaryota; Metazoa; Chordata; Aves; Anseriformes; Anatidae
Description: lncRNA (ENSAPLG00000028294.1)
Source: RNAcentral
AUUGGUUUAAUUUCAUGGGUGUCAUUUCCUUCAAGAAAUCUCUCUCUGAGCAGCAGCCCGACGAAUGCCUGAUAAAACAUAUUUUCCUACGGUAAUGAUUUUAUGGACCCAUAAGUCAUGAAUUUAUUAUGAUCUCAGCCCCUGCUGCUGAUUGCUGUAAAAUGCAAAGUAAUUAACAGCAAGCGGUAGCAGCUAUUCCCACCUGGUAGCGUGUUCUUGGGUACGCUGAUGGGUUUGAUUAAAGUAAUGGCUAAAGUGUACAGCCCGGCUGUAAAAUAUUAGCAUGAUUAAUGCCGUAUCCUAAAUAAGAAACAAAACUAAUGGGCAUGGUUUAAAGAAUUAAAAAUAUAUAUAUAUAUUCCUCUCCCUCCCUCAAGCUAUUGUUCUGGCUCAUUUAUGCUUUCUUUUCUGUUAAAUAAUGUAUGGGCUUCAGGGCCAGGGGGCAGGCUAGAGAUGCAUAUUGCAGUUUCAUAACAUCUUAAGUGCUUGUGUUAAUUUUUCACUCCUCCCUUCUCUUUCCCCUCAACCUGCCAUCUCCCAUUGGAUAGGGGAGAAAGAUAAUCAAGUUUUCUGGUCUUGGCUUGAAGUCAGAUGUGAUUUGAUUUGGAUUGCAGACAGCCUGAGGAAGUGGCUCAGAGGCAACUUGGAGAGUUGGACUUGGUUCCUGGCCUCGCAGAAUAAAAAUCCUCAAACCGUGCUCACAGUUCCAUGGCUGGGGGUGAUCUCCAUUCUGUGUCAGGAGCCUGGAGCCCGGCGAGUUUGCAAAUCACAGAAGGAUCUGCGAAAUAUGCUCAGGUGCUGGCCUGCUUCUCGGGUGGCAAGGAGAAUUGGUUGGGAUGACAGACGGAAAGAGAAGAGGUGCCUCGCAUUCCGUGGAAGGUGCUGAAUUUGAUUUUAAUGCUCUCUCUGUCUCUCUCUGGACUCUCUUCUGUUCUGCCCAAGUGAUCAAGAACGUAUUUUGGCUUUUGAUACAGAGGUGGAAAUACCAAGCCUGACUUGCUCAGUGCCCUGUUGUGACGCCCAACUUCACACGGAGGGAAAUAUUAAAUCAGUAAAAACAACAGACAACACAGCAGCCAAUUUAAAGCAAGAGUUAAAACCAAAUCCAUUGUACAGAAAAGAAGGACUUAAUGGGAAGCUUAAAAGUUAUUUUUAGUAAUGUUUUUGCUGCCUUUUGUUUCCAUUCUGUGCUUGUAUUCAAAGCUUUGUUGACUUCUAGAAACAUAAUUUUCAACACAAGUUAGCCUUUCCUUUUACAGACUCUUUAUAUUUUGUUUAAAAAAAAAAAAGUCUUGGCAAGUUAGAAUAGGUAGGAAGGGAAAGGAAGGUGAAUCCUGCCUAGGUGCCAUUCAUUCUAUUUCAUUUAAUGGCAGGGAUAAGAAGAAAGAAAUGAGAAAAUAGCAUUCAAAAUCUUCACAGCUCUUUGAUUUUUUUGACUCUUAAAAGCCAAAAGAGAGAAAAUUACAAUUUUACGGGGAGGAGAAAAAAAUCUGAAUUCUCAUUUUUGCUGCGUUCCUACUGAAGUGUUACUUGGUGGAAUUGUAUUGUUUCUGAUGAAAUCUCGGUAUACACUGAGAAAAAUUUGAGUUGUUUUUGUGCUCUCCACUCCCUCUUAGAGCUCUGCUUAUUUCUUUGUGCUCGUCUUUGCUUUUCUUUUUCAUCUCUUGUACUGUUUGUGUUUCUCCCUUCUGUCCUUGCUGAUGCCUUUUUUCCACUCCUCCUCCCAUUCCACUAAAAUUACCACCGUCAAGACUGUUAAAAUGACUCUGAGGUGUUUCCUUCCUGGACGGACUAAUUGGGGCUGAGAUCUUUAUAAUUCCCAGAGCUAUUUUCUUGGGCUGACCAAGUUGACUUCACUUUACACAUUACUGCUGGAAAGUUUGGUUCAGGGUAUCUCUCUCCCAGCCUAAUAUGGCAAGGUAGGCUCUGGCACUGGAGCAGUCCACGUGGCCCAUGUAGGUCGGUCAGGUGGCUGUAUGUGCCUGGAGUGACUGGAGAGUCAUUCUGGAUUUGCAAUAACUGAAGCUCAGCCUCCUUGCUAGCACUCUGCCCAUCUGUUAGAUAAGUUUGGAAAUAAAAAGUUAACUAUAAGCUAUUUAUAUAUAUAU